This 263-nucleotide ribosomal RNA is filed under the name uncultured bacterium. RNAcentral describes it as "partial 16S ribosomal RNA". It matches the Rfam family "Bacterial small subunit ribosomal RNA", at positions 1229 to 1500 of the family's 1533-position model. The record is from RNAcentral.
AAUGGCAGGUACAGCGGGAAGCCAUAUGGCGACAUAGAGNGGAACCCGAAAACCUGUCUCAGUUCGGAUUGGAGUCUGCAACCCGACUCCAUGAAGCUGGAUUCGCUAGUAAUCGCGCAUCAGCCACGGCGCGGUGAAUACGUUCCCGGGCCUUGUACACACCGCCCGUCAAGCCAUGGGAGCCGGGGGUACCUGAAGUGCGUGACCGCAAGGAGCGCCCUAAGGUAAAACCGGUGACUGGGGCUAAGUCGUAACAAGGUACC